CAUCGAGAAGCAGAGGAAGCAGGAAAUGAACAUGCCACGCUGAAACACAAUACUGACACACGGUGGAGCACAGAUAAGGAAACACGGGUUAAUUUAAGUUGUAAGAGCCGCAGGGAUGGAGCAACUGCGAGCAACUUUGCAAACGUAUGUGAGACAAGGGACUUUGGAAGCAAACUCUGGCCAAUACCUCACGGCCCAAAUCACUGUCUCAAAAGGAAAAAAGAGGGUAGGAACCCUUCUAUGAGACUGGCCGAGCGUUCCAGCGUAAAGCCGGAUUGUUUCUAGAACCACCUCAGAGAGGCUCAUCCAUCUGGGGGUGUGCUCCAGGUGGCGCUCCCCCUGAGUCAUCCCUCUGCCAUGAGGGCCGUCCCGCCACGGCCACAGCCAGCACCAGACCCCUUGCAGAACGCGAAGGUUGGCAACAGCGAUGACUUUUCUGGACAAGUCGGUGUUCAUCUCCACCCCCCAGGGCCUUUCCCAAAUGUCCUUCCCCCCCCCCUUGUCCCUCAGCCCCACUGCGACUGCUCCCCGGGUGGGCUUCUCAACCCUGCUGUCCCCUGAAUGUCCCAAAGUCCAAAACCCACCAGGGGCUUCCAUCCGGGACUCUUCUACCGGGUAGGCCAGUCCUGUGACAUCCUUCCUACUUUGGUUCUGGCAGGAGUAAGCCCUCAGUCAGGCCCUCCCCGGACAGAUCUUGGAAAUGAUUAAUCUCUCAGAUUAAACUGAAUGAGCUCAAUAUAAAAAUAUUUUUAAAAAACAGUAGGGUCGUUAAAGAGUGACAGAUUUAAGCGCCAUCUGGGCUCACUGGUCAGGGUGGCGCGAAUUCCAUCAAACGGCUGAACGGCGUGCGAUCUGAGAAUCCCAUCUGUUUUAUCUAACAUGCAUCCGUCCGACAGUUUGGCCAUUUUGAUGUUAGAGUUGUUUAAAGAAAACAUUAUUCUAUGGACAUAGAACAAUGCCUCCUCUAAACUCCCUGAAUGAAAAAAUGUACACUUGAUUAUCCCAAUACCUGACAGAAACGAAGCUCGGCCGAACUCUUACAGUGGCAAUUCCAAACAGAUUUCUUUUCAC
This is a long non-coding RNA of Mesocricetus auratus (golden hamster), 1071 nucleotides long. RefSeq lists it as uncharacterized. The transcript is spliced from 2 exons. The record is from RefSeq and is a predicted model, not a curated record. NCBI's taxonomy places the organism in Eukaryota, Metazoa, Chordata, Mammalia, Rodentia, Cricetidae.